AGCCUGAACGCUGGCGGCGUGGCUAAGACAUGCAAGUCGUACGGAUGUAGCAAUACAUCAGUGGCGAACGGGAGAGUAAUGAAUCGCUAAUGUGCCCCGGACUCUGGGAUAGCCAGUUGAAAGACUGGGUAAUACCAGAUGAGACCACGAACAGGCAUCUGUUGUGCUCAAAGGUCCGCCGGUCUGGGAGCAGGCGAUUUCGUAUCAGCUAGUUGGUGAGGUAACGGCUCACCAAGGCGACGACGCGUAGCCGGACUGAGAGGUUGGCCGGCCUCAUUGGGACUGAGACACUGCCCAGACUCCUACGGGGGGCUGCAGUAACGAAUCUUCCGCAAUGCACGAAAGUGUGACGGAGCGACGCCGCGUGUGGGACGAAGUCCUUCGGGAUGUAAACCACUGUCAGGGGUUACCAAGUUCUGAGGAGCCCCAGAGGAAGGGACGGCUAACUCUGCGCCAGCAGCCGCGGU
Molecule: ribosomal RNA, 467 nt
Filed under: uncultured bacterium
Lineage: Bacteria
Description: SSU rRNA
Rfam family: Bacterial small subunit ribosomal RNA
Source: RNAcentral